This 459-nucleotide ribosomal RNA is filed under the name uncultured bacterium. RNAcentral's name for it is "bacterial SSU rRNA". It matches the Rfam family "Bacterial small subunit ribosomal RNA", at positions 343 to 794 of the family's 1533-position model. The record is from RNAcentral.
CGGAGGCAGCAGUGAGGAAUUUUGGACAAUGGGGGCAACCCUGAUCCAGCCAUUCCGCGUGAGUGAAGAAGGCCUUCGGGUUGUAAAGCUCUUUCGGCAGGAACGAAACGGCUCUCUCUAACAUAGGGGGCUAAUGACGGUACCUGAAGAAGAAGCACCGGCUAACUACGUGCCAGCAGCCGCGGUAAUACGUAGGGUGCGAGCGUUAAUCGGAAUUACUGGGCGUAAAGCGUGCGCAGGCGGUUGUGUAAGACAGGUGUGAAAUCCCCGGGCUUAACCUGGGAAUGGCGCUUGUGACUGCACGACUGGAGUACGGCAGAGGGGGGUGGAAUUCCACGUGUAGCAGUGAAAUGCGUAGAGAUGUGGAGGAACACCGAUGGCGAAGGCAGCCCCCUGGGCUAGUACUGACGCUCAUGCACGAAAGCGUGGGCAGCAAACAGGAUUAGAUACCCUGGUAGC